AUGUGUUGAAUGUGUAUAAUAAUGUGUUAUCACAAUAAGCAAAAGGGAAUCAGGCUAACAUUCCUGAACCUGCACACCGGGAGUGCCGUCUUUGGCGGCGACCGUGGCAACACAAAUGCGCUCAAAGACACCAAGAGAUAGGCUAGGAAGAGUUAUCUUUUCUUUUUAAGUUACUUGUACCCAUGGAAUGAAGUAGAUUUGAGAUAUGGGUAAGGGUAACAUAAAGCUGCUCAUAUUAGAGUAGUUUAGUUGACUCUCUUGGUCCUUGAAAAUUUGAGCGUGGUUCUAAUCUUGGUGGCAGUCCGUACUAGUAUCCGCAGCAGGUCUCCAAGGUGUAUAGCCUUUAGUGUCUAGAAUAAUGUAGGUAAGGGAAGUCGGCAAAAUAGUUCUGUAACUUUGGNUUCGAAGGCGAUCAGAUACCGCUCUAGUUCUAACCAUAAACUAUGCCAACUAGCAAUUUGCUUAUGUAUGUUUCAUGACUAGGUGAGAGGCCACGGGAAACCUAAGUAGGGUUAUGGGGGAAGUAUGGUUGCAAAGCUGAAACUUAAAGGAAUUGACGGAAGGGCACCACCAGGAGUGGAGCCUGCGGCUUAAUUUGACUCAACACGGGAAAACUUACCUGGUCCUGACACUAGAAGGAUUGACAGAUUGAUAGCUCUUUCUUGAUUUGGUGGAUGGUGGUGCAUGGCCGUUCUUAGUUGGUGGAGUGAUUUGUCUGGUUAAUUCCGAUAACGAACGAGACUCUAGCCUAUUAAAUAACACACAGAAUCAUGUCUUCUGCGGUGUUUCUUAAUGGGAUCAAGUGUGUUUAACACUUUGAAACAGAGCAAUAACAGGUCUGUGAUGCCCUUAGAUGUUCGGGGCCGCACGCGCGCUACAUUGAAAGACAAAAUGAGCGUUUCUGGUUUUUAACAAAACUAGUAAUCUUUGAAUGUUUUUCUUAAUGGGGAUAGGGGAUUGCAAUUGUGCCCCUUGAACGAGGAAUUCCCAGUAAGUGCUAGUCAUUAGCUAGUACUGAUUACGUCCCUGCCCUUUGUACACACCGCCCGUCGCUACUACCGAUUGAAUGGUUUAGUGAGAUCAUCUGAGUAGAUGUGCAUGUACUUUGUACGUGUAGUGUUUGCAAUGAAGAUCAAACUUGAUUAUUUAGAGGAAGUAAAAGUCGUAACAAGGUUUCCGUAGGUGAACCUGCGGAAGG
This 1198-nucleotide ribosomal RNA is filed under the name Onthophagus taurus. Its description in RNAcentral is "SSU rRNA". The stretch from base 218 to 1198 matches the Rfam family "Eukaryotic small subunit ribosomal RNA". Lineage: Eukaryota; Metazoa; Arthropoda; Insecta; Coleoptera; Scarabaeidae. The record is from RNAcentral.